This 428-nucleotide ribosomal RNA is filed under the name uncultured bacterium. RNAcentral's name for it is "bacterial SSU rRNA". It matches the Rfam family "Bacterial small subunit ribosomal RNA", at positions 28 to 440 of the family's 1533-position model. The record is from RNAcentral.
GACGAACGCUGGCGGCGCGCCUAACACAUGCAAGUCGAGCGGGAAGCUUUUUAAGGAUUCUUCGGAUGAAUUAAAAGUGGAGAGCGGCGGACGGGUGAGUAACGCGUGAGAAACCUGCCCUAUACAGGGGGAUAGCCAUUGGAAACGAUGAUUAAUACCCCAUAUGACCACAGUAUCGCAUGAUACAGCGGUGAAAACUCCGGUGGUAUAGGAUGGUCUCGCGUCUGAUUAGCUAGUUGGUGGGGUAACGGCCUACCAAGGCGACGAUCAGUAGCCGGCCUGAGAGGGUGACCGGCCACACUGGAACUGAGACACGGUCCAGACUCCUACGGGAGGCAGCAGUGGGGAAUAUUGCACAAUGGGCGAAAGCCUGAUGCAGCGACGCCGCGUGGGGGAGGAAGGUUUUUGGAUCGUAAACCCCUUUAGGA